AGGAUUAUAGUUUAAAAAUAAAACAUUUGAUUUGCGUUCAAAAAAUAUUGAAAAAUCAAUUUAUCUUA
This 68-nucleotide transfer RNA is filed under the name Lopinga achine (woodland brown). RNAcentral's name for it is "tRNA-Ala". It matches the Rfam family "tRNA". From Rfam's summary of the family: Transfer RNA (tRNA) molecules are approximately 80 nucleotides in length. Their secondary structure includes four short double-helical elements and three loops (D, anti-codon, and T loops). Further hydrogen bonds mediate the characteristic L-shaped molecular structure. tRNAs have two regions of fundamental functional importance: the anti-codon, which is responsible for specific mRNA codon recognition, and the 3' end, to which the tRNAs corresponding amino acid is attached (by aminoacyl-tRNA synthetases). tRNAs cope with the degeneracy of the genetic code in two manners: having more than one tRNA (with a specific anti-codon) for a particular amino acid; and 'wobble' base-pairing, i.e. permitting non-standard base-pairing at the 3rd anti-codon position. Lineage: Eukaryota; Metazoa; Arthropoda; Insecta; Lepidoptera; Nymphalidae. The record is from RNAcentral.